Molecule: ribosomal RNA, 497 nt
Filed under: uncultured bacterium
Lineage: Bacteria
Description: partial 16S ribosomal RNA
Rfam family: Bacterial small subunit ribosomal RNA
Source: RNAcentral
GAUGAACGCUGGCGGCGUGCCUAAUACAUGCAAGUCGAGCGAACGGACGAGAAGCUUGCUUCUCUGAUGUUAGCGGCGGACGGGUGAGUAACACGUGGAUAACCUACCUAUAAGACUGGGAUAACUUCGGGAAACCGGAGCUAAUACCGGAUAAUAUUUUGAACCGCAUGGUUCAAAAGUGAAAGACGGUCUUGCUGUCACUUAUAGAUGGAUCCGCGCUGCAUUAGCUAGUUGGUAAGGUAACGGCUUACCAAGGCAACGAUGCAUAGCCGACCUGAGAGGGGGGUCGGCCAACCUGGAACUGAGACACGGUCCCGACUCCUAAGGGAGGCCGCAGUAGGGAAUCCUCCGGAAUGGGCGGAAGCCUUAAGGAACAAACGCGGGUGAGUUAAGGAAGUCUUCCGAUCGUAAAACCCUUUUAUUAGGGAAGAACAUAUGUGUAAGUAACUGUGCACAUCUUGACGGUACCUAAUCAGAAAGCCACGGCUAACUACGUG